Ictidomys tridecemlineatus (thirteen-lined ground squirrel) is the source of this 845-nucleotide non-coding RNA. NCBI's taxonomy places the organism in Eukaryota, Metazoa, Chordata, Mammalia, Rodentia, Sciuridae. The record is from RefSeq and is a predicted model, not a curated record.
CGCCCCUGCCUGGCCCCGCCCCGCGUCCUGCGGGCCUGCGCUGCCAGAGCCGAGCGGGUGCAGAGUCCGGGUGCGGAGUCCGGGUGCGGAGUCUCCAGCGCCCGCCCGUACCGCCUGGCUUCCCUCCCUCCUGGUCUGCGGGGCGCCCGCCCGAGGUGCCUUAGGCGCAGGAACGCGGAUGUGAGGCAAGCGCGGGGCGUCCGGGCAGUUUCUCCGGUGGAGACAUCAGCGACAACGUCCGUGCUUCCCCUUAGCGUCCCACGUGAACCUAGUGGUCCUGCGGAGACCUGCGCUUUUCGAAGAAAGUGGUUACAAUGAAGCAGGGUACAAGAAAAACGCCACCCGGAGCACAGGACCAGGACCGGAGUCUGCAGUGGGACCACUGGAUCGCUGUUUUCCUCUUCGGAUUUGUCCCGUUACCAGGGCAACUCCUGCUGCGACAGUGGCCCACUUUAUGCUUUGAAUACAACACUCGCUGCUCUGCCACUGCGACUUAUUUUUGAAAAGGCCACGUUUCUGUCCCUCCUCUCCCCUUCCCCCUACCUAAUCUCAGGGGAAACCGGAUGGCCUUUCUUCCCCAUCCCAGGCGGAGUUGUCUGCCCUGAGUACACACCCGCCAUAGGAACAAGGUAAUCCAGACUUUGGAGGUGAUACCAGAAGACCUCAGAAAAGGCUAUCUUCCAAAUUAACAAGUGGAUUACAACUCCAGACAGAGAACACAUGGACUGUAGCCUUUGAGUCACCUGUUCCUGCAGAGGGGCAGAAUCUUAACCUCUGGGACAGAAGUCCUUGUGUUCCUUCUUUGCUAGCAAAGCAAUAAACCUUCUUUUUUCUUUUUCUCAAAA